This 408-nucleotide ribosomal RNA is filed under the name uncultured bacterium. RNAcentral describes it as "partial 16S ribosomal RNA". It matches the Rfam family "Bacterial small subunit ribosomal RNA", at positions 28 to 526 of the family's 1533-position model. The record is from RNAcentral.
GACGAACGCUGGCGGCGUGCUUAACACAUGCAAGUCGAACGAAGUGGCGAACGGGUGAGUAACGCGUAAUCAACCUGCCCUUCAGAGGGGGACAACAGUUGGAAACGACUGCUAAUACCGCAUACUGAAGGUGGGGAUUGCGGCUGAUUAGCUCGUUGGAGGGGUAACGGCCCACCAAGGCGAUGAUCAGUAGCCGGGCUGGGAGGAUGAACGGCCCCAAUGGGAAUGAGAAACGGCCCAGACUCCGACGGGAGGCAGCAGGGGGGAAUCUUCCGAAAUGGACGAAAGUCUGACGGAGCAAAGCCGCGUGAGUGAUGACGGCCUUCGGGUUGGAAAGCUCUGUUAAGCGGGACGCGGUACCGGAAUAGAAAGCCACGGCUAACUACGUGCCAGCCGCCGCGGUAAUAC